AUUGAACGCUGGCGGCAUGCCUUACACAUGCAAGUCGAACGGUAACGCGGGGCAACCUGGCGACGAGUGGCGAACGGGUGAGUAACGCAUCGGAACGUGCCCAGUAGUGGGGGAUAGCCCGGCGAAAGCCGGAUUAAUACCGCAUACGACCUACGGGUGAAAGGGGGGGAUCGCAAGACCUCUCGCUAUUGGAGCGGCCGAUGUCAGAUUAGGUAGUUGGUGGGGUAAAGGCCCACCAAGCCUUCGAUCUGUAGCUGGUCUGAGAGGACGACCAGCCACACGAGGACUGAGACGCGGCCCAGACUCCUACGGGAGGAAGCAGUGGGGAAUUUUGGACAAUGGGCGCAAGCCUGAUCCAGCAAUGCCGCGUGCAGGAUGAAGGCCUUCGGGUUGUAAACUGCUUUUGUACGGAGCGAAAAGGCUCUCUCUAAUACAGGGGGCUCAUGACGAUACCGUAAGAAUAAGCACCGGCUAACUACGUGCCAGCCGCCGCCGUAA
RNAcentral lists this ribosomal RNA (498 nucleotides) under uncultured bacterium. RNAcentral describes it as "partial 16S ribosomal RNA". It matches the Rfam family "Bacterial small subunit ribosomal RNA", at positions 29 to 523 of the family's 1533-position model. The record is from RNAcentral.